CACAGACACUAUCCUGGGCCCACUCGCGCGUCACCAGACACCUCGGCUAUCCUCGCCCCAGUUUGCGCCGCGCCCGUCAUGGCCACCCCGUCCGUGGUGCAGGCCCCUCUAUGCUUCGUUUCUCCACAGGGUGAUUCCAUGUCCCGCUCGCGAUGGCCCCUGCACUACCGCUUUCGAUUCAAGGGUCGCCUCGCCGCAGACAAAGCCCACGAGGGCGCACAAGGAGAGCCCCGACGGUUUUGUCACGAAGCCAGAGAUGCUGACCGAUGGGAUAGUGAAGCUGAUGAUUUGGCACCGCACCAUUCCCAGCAUGCAAGGGUAAGCGACCCAAGGGUUCUUAUCUGUCCACUAUUUAAUCAAAUCCCCGUGGCGUUUUCGAUUCCUUUUUGUGUGCUCAGUUCUUUCUUUGUGUCAUGAGUUUUAGAACUUGAUUGGGAUGGUUUUUGUUCCAUGAGAAUUAUUAGGGUUUGAUCGGGAUGAUUCGAGUAUUAGUUCUUACGGUCACUGGAUUUUGCAUAUUGUCAUAGUCUAAUGCCAUUAAAUUUUGAAGGUAGCGAUACUGUUUUCACCCUAUUGAAUAGGGUAUAUGAUGAUGUUGGCAAUCACUAGAGCAGGUAAUAUUUUGUUAUUAAAGUUUUCAUGUCGUUUCUGCACUGCCAUGGCUUGAUCUGUGAGGAUCCAUACAUGCGUAUGGUUUAUGCUUGUAAGUUUUCUCCUUCCCUUGCUUUACACAUCUGCCAUAUCAUGCUUGACAAACACAUCAGUUUUGGCCCUAAUGUUCCGGUGUGUUUCUGUGUAACUUUGCCCCUUUCUUUGUGCCAAGAUUUUGUUCAUUGGGUCUGCAUGGGCUACCAGGGAUUAAGGUUAAUGAUUCAAUGAUGCUCUUUGUAUUAUGCUUAUGGUUGAGUAUGGCGUUUAACACUAACUACGAGAUAGGUUAGAACAGAAUUGGAAGACCAGCUUCUCUACACAUAUAGAUGCCAUUUUCUCGAUGGGGGGUUCAGUGAUUUCAAGGCGCUGCCUAGAGCAAGUGGAGAAUUGAGUGAUUUUUAGGAGCUCCUACGCUAUUUUUUAUAGAUGCCAUUUUCUCGAUGGGGAGAACAGAAUCGGGACAGGAAUGGAGAUGGAGGAAGACGACCGAGCCGCUCGAGUGCUGCUGAGCUCCCAGUGUCUCUGUCUCUGAUGAGCUACUAUUGUUCCUUGCUGUUGCUGCUUUCGGCACUGAUCUGGCUGGCGGCUCUUGGCUGAGAAAGAUCAAAAAACACUACCAGCCACCGCCAUCUCACACAGGCUGAAUAUCUAAGGAAGGGGAUGGUUAAGCCUCCUACUGCUCCCCUUGUUGGAUGUUUGAAAUGGUGAUGUUGUUGUGUUGUCUGCAUUUGGAGCUGCUGUGGAGGAGGUACACACUAAAUGAGAAGAAAGUGCAGAUUGUUGAUACGACUUGCUCUUGUUUUUCAAAGGAGGCACUUUUAAAUUCGCUACCUAGACUUUUGGGCUCACUGUCUUCUUCGGUUCGGUGAACAUGGACACAAUGCAACCAAGCAUGUAGCCUCAUUAAUCAGUGUAGAUACGCCUAAAGUCGGCCCUGACAUACAGCAACGCACAACCAAGAAAAGAGCGUUCGAUCUGUUAGAGCUCGAUCAUCGCCGAAAAAGGCUAUGAAGUAACUGUUUGUAAGUCAACUUGAACGUAAAGACACUCCUGAUGAGCCUAGGUAUGUACUUCCUUACUGAUAAACAAUUAGCAGAUUGCAAUCGCCAAUUGUUAUGUUCAACAAACAUAUAUACAUCUACUACGGUUGAACUUCUACGUUCCAAAUUAGAGGCUCUAGAAUUUAUAAAACGGAACUAGGAAAGGAAUACUCUCUUCUAAAAAACAUACAUGUGCGUCUGUAGAUAACUUCAUCUAACAUCACAUAGUGUCACCUUAACACAAAGAAUUAAAGGCUCUGUCAAAGUUUACGAUACUAUACAUCCAAGCUCCUCGAGUUGUUGUUAUUUUUGGCUUGACUGAACUGCUAGAUGGUUAGAUUCAGAUCAACUCUGAAUUGAUUUUGAUGUAUAUCAAAAAGGGCUUUGUUGUAUGUAUAUAGAAUUUUUUGAAUAUGAACUAGCUCAGGCAUUUAAGAGUCUUGUUCAAAUGUUUAGAUAUUUCAGCCAUUGCACAAUCUGGUAGUCUUCAGGCCAUUACCUGUGUUGUAUAGUCAUACCAACCACUGCACACUCAAUCAGUCUUUUGAACAUUUUUGUACGUAUAAAUAGAGCAGGAUAGUAACACAUUUGUCUUGAUGCUAACAAAUAGCGAUCAUCGAGUAUCUACCAAAACAAUAUUAUUGGUUCUUUUUAUGUGAGCAUAGAUAACAACUUUAAAAAAAUAUGUCUAAUGAUGGGAAAAUAUGUCUCUCACAAAAAUGACUUCUACCCUAGACAAACACACUUGGGUUGUUGGUUUUAGUAAUAUCUUCAUUUUUUGCAUUAUGUUUUAAGAGUAGAAAUUUUCUUAAAUUAUAUUAUAAAUGCGGAGCAUUUCAUCAAAAGGCCCAUAACUUAAAAUUUUAAGUAUCACCUGAUGACAGAAAGGUGUGCCACAUUCCAUGUACCUAGCAGAUUAUGUGUUUAGUAGUGGCACAAAAACCAAUUCAUUUGUAGCUUCUUCCCACUCUUUAACACACUCAUUUUCAUCUAUAUAAGAGAUCCCCUCUCGCUUGAAUUUUAUGAAACCUCAAGGUUUUUCAGCAUUGAAAACUUGUGUUGGUUGGCUAGAUGACUUUUUUUGUUUUGUACUUCCUGCAUACCAAAAUGAUCAGAAGUCUGAUCCAUAAACCAUUUGCAAUAAAGUCAAUCAAUAUUUUUCAGAAGGAUAAAAUUAACUUCCAUCACCAAAUUUAGGUGUUACAAUUUGAAGGCUUUCCCCCACCUUCUCUAUAUGCCUUGUGGUUUGGUUGUGGGAAAACUUAUCUAUAUUAACAAUGUACACUUUGAAGGCUAUCUGAUCGCCACAGCAGGAUCCAAAUAAUCUCAGAAUAUUAGGUAAGAAACAUUAGGCCAGUUCUUGGUUAGUAAGGCCGUGUUUGGUUUCAUACGGAUUAUAGAAUCUGGAGUUUGCGCUUGAUUUCCAAAAAUCAGUACCAAUCAGGAAGUACAGAAGUAGUAGUUUAAUCAAGGCACGCUUGAUUUCCAAAUGUUCUUGUUUAAUCAAGGCGCACUUGAUUACCAAUCAGCAAGUACAGAAGUAUUACCAAUCAGCAAGAUUGACCGGUUGUGUGAUUUGGUUAGUAAGGAGCACUUCAUUUCCAAAAAUCAGUACCAAUCAGCAAGUAGAUACUGAAUAUUCUGAGUCGGUUUGGUUUCCUUUUCUACUGAAUGUUCUUGUUUCUAUACUGAAUGUUCUUGUUUCCAUUUCUACUGAUACUAAAUCGCUUAUCAUUGCAGCACAUAAGUAGUAGUUUAAUGUAUUUGCUCUGAUUCCAUAUGAUUGAAAUUGUUAAAAUCACAGAAAUGUUGUUUUUUUGAUGAUAAAUCUAUGAUGUUGUCCUUGCCUACAAAUCUAAAUAUUUUGGUACAUUAGGGAAAUUUUGAAAGUUUAUUGUUCGCAUUCUAGGACUAAUCGUCUUCCACUAUUUAAGUCAGACUGAUGAUUUGCAUAGUGAGUAUACCAAAUGUGCUCUCGUUGAGUGCUGCUAUCAGGUUGAACUGUUUUAUAUAUCUUUCAGUUUGAACAGACAUAUUUCACAUUAAUUGGAAACAACUAACCUAAAGAUUUCAAGGCGUAACCAUAACCUAUUAAGUCUUUGCAAUUUUUUGGCGCAAAACUGUAUUUGCAUUUUUAAUCAAGGCAACAACUAUAACUUCUUUGCAAGUCUAUUUUCCAUCUCAUGUUUACAGUAUAGUUGAUUUUACAAACUGAGGGAGGUGCCGAGGGAGCAAAAUUUUCUCAGUUUGGCGCUGAUUUAUCAAGAUCAAUAAAGUGCAAGACACACUUUCCACUAAUGGAAGCAGACACCUAAAAAUACUGGAGAGUAUGUGCACCUGACCAAAGAAUUACUAACGAGUUGUGAAAGUAUCCAAUGACAGGUUCUAGCACUGUUGGUUCAAGGAAAUGACACAACAAUAUGGUGAAAUGGAAAUGGAGCACAGGCUGCACAUGAGUCUCUCAAAAGGAGCUCACGCAACACUAUCGGUACUGUCGCCGAGGACAAGGUUGUCCCUAGAGUCCAUUCAAUUGACAUGGAAACGUGUUUUGUUUUUGUUGCUGAUGAUGACGAUCUGGAUGGUGAAGAGUGAGCUAGACUCAUAUUUGUUAUCAACAUGUGAUUUUUAUGGAUAUUUUAUUCUAUUGUAUCCUUGUGGUGCAUUAGCUGUUUUUUACUUUCUUCAAGGAAAACAUUUCGGUAAAGAUAAUAGUGCCGCUGACAAUAGAAGCUGUCGAGAAGCGCAGGGAAGUGUUCAGCCCUUGUGCUCCCUCUGAUGAUAUCAGCCAGGCACUGGAGGAGGGUGCAGAAGCAACAGUGGUUGAUUUCACGAGAUUGAGGUGCAACAAGGGAGCAGAAUCCGGUCUCUGAUGAAUUUGAGCUGCUGAACGACAUCAAAUCUAAUGACGGAGUAGAAGUAGUUGAUCUAACUGAAGGUCUCUGAUGAAUCUGAGCUGCUGAACGAUAUCUAACUGAAGGUGGAAAGAAAGAGCAGAAUUUGGGUGCAGAGACUGAACAUGACAGAGGGAACGCAGGGGCUGAACUGGGGGCACUGGGGCGCAAGAGCAGAACCUGAAUGCUCGUUCUCGUUUGACGGCGGGAGUUUGCAGGCAUAAGGUGACUGCUGACGAAGGUACGGAAGCGACUGAAGGGGUGGUGUCAGCUGCGCAUGUUCCAGAGGAUGGCACCACUGUUACACCAGGAACUGGGAGGAGCACUGAUCAUCAGUACUCUGAAAGGGCGAGCGAUUCUUCAACCGCUGUCGGAUCAUCGAAGGGCCACAACGCGAGCCUGAGGAGGCUAUACAGGUCGAUGAACGUGCCGGUGCCGUGCCCCCUGCCAUCGCUCGUCCAGCUGAUGGCGGCCUCCAAGCGGCCUAGAGUCUCAAACUGCGUAGCUGUAGGUUCAGUUUUUGCUGCUGCAAAAUGAAACCCAGUUCUUAGUUGUUACGAGUAUGUGCACUAUGGCCUGACAACGAAUUCGUAUUUAUUUGUUCUGUGAAGAGGCAGAUCAUCAGGGAUCUCAAUCGUUCUGAAUGCGUUAUUUUCCAUCA
This is a long non-coding RNA of Zea mays, 5243 nucleotides long. RefSeq lists it as uncharacterized. NCBI's taxonomy places the organism in Eukaryota, Viridiplantae, Streptophyta, Magnoliopsida, Poales, Poaceae. The transcript is spliced from 11 exons. The record is from RefSeq and is a predicted model, not a curated record.